UGGGUAAUGUAAGGUACCGAACCUCUAAAAUCAUGAGGUUACGGUGUCCAUUUGGUUGGAGAGCCAUUUGAAUGGAUCCGGUAAGGUUGCGGUGUAAUGUAAUAUACCGGAUUUAAAUAUAAAAAUAAAAAUACAUAAAAAUAGUAUGAGAUACUAUUUUUAUUGGAUUUGGAGAAGUGAAAUAUGAGUUAGAAAUGACUUGUGCUGAAAUCGGAAUGAAAACAGAAGAUUUAGAAUUUUCUGUGAGAGACGGGGCAGAUAAAUUAGCUGAAAAUGCACAGUCUCAGAAAAUUAUGAAAAUUGGAGGAUAAGUCAGAAAUAUUUUUAUGAGGCUAGAUUUGAGGUUUCAUAUUUUUCUGACACCCGUAGAGUGAGAAAUAAAAUUCGAAGGCUAUCUGAUAAAGAUUGCAGUUCGGCAUAGUUUUCAGUGACCAAACGGGGUCGAAACUGAAAACUUAAGAUAUAUUCUUACUCAGUACGUUAAACCGAGNNNNNNNNNNNNNNNNNNNNNNNNNNNNNNNNNNNNNNNNNNNNNNNNNNNNNNNNNNNNNNNNNNNNNNNNNNNNNNNNNNNNNNNNNNNNNNNNNNNNNNNNNNNNNNNNNNNNNNNNNNNNNNNNNNNNNNNNNNNNNNNNNNNNNNNNNNNNNNNNNNNNNNNNNNNNNNNNNNNNNNNNNNNNNNNNNNNNNNNNNNNNNNNNNNNNNNNNNNNNNNNNNNNNNNNNNNNNNNNNNNNNNNNNNNNNNNNNNNNNNNNNNNNNNNNNNNNNNNNNNNNNNNNNNNNNNNNNNNNNNNNNNNNNNNNNNNNNNNNNNNNNNNNNNNNNNNNNNNNNNNNNNNNNNNNNNNNNNNNNNNNNNNNNNNNNNNNNNNNNNNNNNNNNNNNNNNNNNNNNNNNNNNNNNNNNNNNNNNNNNNNNNNNNNNNNNNNNNNNNNNNNNNNNNNNNNNNNNNNNNNNNNNNNNNNNNNNNNNNNNNNNNNNNNNNNNNNNNNNNNNNNNNNNNNNNNNNNNNNNNNNNNNNNNNNNNNNNNNNNNNNNNNNNNNNNNNNNNNNNNNNNNNNNNNNNNNNNNNNNNNNNNNNNNNNNNNNNNNNNNNNNNNNNNNNNNNNNNNNNNNNNNNNNNNNNNNNNNNNNNNNNNNNNNNNNNNNNNNNNNNNNNNNNNNNNNNNNNNNNNNNNNNNNNNNNNNNNNNNNNNNNNNNNNNNNNNNNNNNNNNNNNNNNNNNNNNNNNNNNNNNNNNNNNNNNNNNNNNNNNNNNNNNNNNNNNNNNNNNNNNNNNNNNNNNNNNNNNNNNNNNNNNNNNNNNNNNNNNNNNNNNNNNNNNNNNNNNNNNNNNNNNNNNNNNNNNNNNNNNNNNNNNNNNNNNNNNNNNNNNNNNNNNNNNNNNNNNNNNNNNNNNNNNNNNNNNNNNNNNNNNNNNNNNNNNNNNNNNNNNNNNNNNNNNNNNNNNNNNNNNNNNNNNNNNNNNNNNNNNNNNNNNNNNNNNNNNNNNNNNNNNNNNNNNNNNNNNNNNNNNNNNNNNNNNNNNNNNNNNNNNNNNNNNNNNNNNNNNNNNNNNNNNNNNNNNNNNNNNNNNNNNNNNNNNNNNNNNNNNNNNNNNNNNNNNNNNNNNNNNNNNNNNNNNNNNNNNNNNNNNNNNNNNNNNNNNNNNNNNNNNNNNNNNNNNNNNNNNNNNNNNNNNNNNNNNNNNNNNNNNNNNNNNNNNNNNNNNNNNNNNNNNNNNNNNNNNNNNNNNNNNNNNNNNNNNNNNNNNNNNNNNNNNNNNNNNNNNNNNNNNNNNNNNNNNNNNNNNNNNNNNNNNNNNNNNNNNNNNNNNNNNNNNNNNNNNNNNNNNNNNNNNNNNNNNNNNNNNNNNNNNNNNNNNNNNNNNNNNNNNNNNNNNNNNNNNNNNNNNNNNNNNNNNNNNNNNNNNNNNNNNNNNNNNNNNNNNNNNNNNNNNNNNNNNNNNNNNNNNNNNNNNNNNNNNNNNNNNNNNNNNNNNNNNNNNNNNNNNNNNNNNNNNNNNNNNNNNNNNNNNNNNNNNNNNNNNNNNNNNNNNNNNNNNNNNNNNNNNNNNNNNNNNNNNNNNNNNNNNNNNNNNNNNNNNNNNNNNNNNNNNNNNNNNNNNNNNNNNNNNNNNNNNNNNNNNNNNNNNNNNNNNNNNNNNNNNNNNNNNNNNNNNNNNNNNNNNNNNNNNNNNNNNNNNNNNNNNNNNNNNNNNNNNNNNNNNNNNNNNNNNNNNNNNNNNNNNNNNNNNNNNNNNNNNNNNNNNNNNNNNNNNNNNNNNNNNNNNNNNNNNNNNNNNNAACUUGUUGUACACAAUCUCGUUGUUAGCCUUGGGCGGACAGGGGAGGUGCUGUCCGUCCGGCGUCUGUUCGAUGCGCCCGGGCCGAACCAAAUUGGUAGCGAUCUCGGGGCGUGACAGAUAAAGUGGUAUCAGAGCAAUUAAGAGCAAGUAAAGAGAGAGUUUAUGAUGGACCUAGGAGACCCUAGGACGGUGAACCCUAAGGUUAUAGGUGCGUGAGUGACGUGAACCUAUACGGUGGCGAUAGUUGGAUCGAUUGGGUCCAGUUGGUAAACCUCUAAGACGGAUGUUAGAGGUGGACUCAAGGUUUUGUUUAUUCUCACCCGAGGGUGUUCAUGUUGGAUGCAUACAACAUGAAACUGAGUGGUGAGAAUAGGCACCCUUGUAUGACUUUCGCCCGAUUGAGUCGCGUCGUCUAAUAGUUGCAACGAGGUUAGCAGGUUAGGGUUUAGUCGAGUCGUUGUGUUUCAGGAGCUAAUGGCAACAAGGAGACACUACGCGCGUAGAACCGUUCCGGCACCGCCUCCCGAGGUGCCUGAGCGAGCUGGGUCAAGUGAAGUGCAAGAAUUACGAGCGCAGAUGACUACGCUUAUCGGCAUGAUUCAACUCCAAGGAAGUCAGAUCGAGCGGCUCCAAGAGCUUUUGGAGUGACAAGUGGCGACGGCGGCCGUGACGACAACUGAAGGCCAAGGUCUGCCCGCGCCCUCGGGUCGCGCGCCUGAUGCGCCUGAGGGCGUGAGCAUUUUGGUGACUCCGGCGGUGGCGCAUCCCCUGCCGGUUAGUGUCCCUCUGGCGGCUUCGGGUCCUACGAUACUCGAUGCGGCAGCUGGGGAAGUGAGACAGGAACGCGAGGCGUUCAAGGAGAGUGGAGUGAAGAAAUGGUCUGGAGAACGGGUGGUGAGGAGGUGACAACCGGAGGGUUCGCCGCGGCCGCCAAGAGGCCGUGGAUAUGCGAACCGGGUUGUGAAACCUGCUGUUAUCGACGAUACCAUGGCAGGUAUGAGUUGAUUGAAGCAAGCAUAGGCUUCUAUAGAAUGUGAAGUUGGUGCAUGCAUGCAUAUGCCAUGUGGUCAUUCACUACCCUCGAUAUAUCAAUGUAGUAGGGACCAAAGGGAUGGGUAAGCAUAGAUACCCGGGCAUGCUUGCAUUGUGGGAGCGUAUCACCUGUUUGAGCAGGUAGAGAGAGCUGGAUAGCGCUAGCAGAUGCUGGUGAUGAUUGUGGGACGAGAAGUGAGACUCGUGGUAAAGACAAAAUGGUGAAGCGACUCUCAAGACAACGGGUAGUCGAUUGUGAGAAUUGCGCCAUGACCUUGAGGAUACCCGAGUAGUCGGAGUAUUCGGAUGCAGAUCCGGUAGGUUGAACAGUGGAAGGUAGAAUCACUGUCGAGGGAAUAGCCGGUUAGUUGCUGAGUACGAGCACAUGGGCCUAGUAGUACCUCAGUUUGAGGUUGGAAGUUGCGCUUGUUUGGUAGGCGCACAUAGGCAGGGUUACAUAAUGCUGGACAUACUGUGGGACGCUAUAGAGACGUACGACGUAAAGAGUGCUCGAGUAUAGAUACUCGUAGAGUGCGGAUUUGACUCAGCUGGGAGAGUGUGAUGGCAGUAGCACUUCAGCAUUGCUAGUGUGAAGCGGGCCAUAGAACACUCGUAAGGCUGGUGGCUCGCACUAGGUGCUUAGGAGCCGGUAAUGGUACGUGUAACUCAAUAGAGUAUGUCGUAUAAGACGACGACGGCGAGUAGUGCUUGGGGACGAUCCGUGCCUGGACCAUUUGUGGACUAUGUAGCCUGGGCCCAUUGGGCAGGCACAGUCAGCUGUGAGAGACAGCGGCCCAAUGUAGGGCAGAGUUUUGGUCAGGGCGGUAGUCCAAGCUGAGACUCGGGAGCGUGGAAUGACACACGCGGAUCAUGAGAUCGAGGAUACACCUAGUGGGUAGUGACCCAACCCAAGGAUUCGACGUGGUUUGGGGUCUUAGUUGCUCCUGGUUGGAGUGUGUGCGAAUUUCCAAGUNUCCGAAAGCUUCGGGAUGGCACCCCCCACCUUUAAUCGAUGUAGAGGCUUUGGAUAUUCUUCUCGGCGAACUUAACGAAAAGGCUUUAGCCUUCUUUGCCCAAAUCAACACUAAUCCGGCCCUAUUUUGCCGAGAACUUCACGCCGGCUCGCCGAAUGCCAAAACCGACUUCGCCCCCACGAUUUGUGACCUAACAAUAGGGUUUUCAAGGCUUCAAAUGAGAUCAAUCUCAUGCUUUCACAAAAACCCCAUUUUGGAGCCCUAGGUUUGCACCUAUAGCAAACCACCCAAUAAAUCCCUAGAACAAUGGGAUUGAUCUAUUUAGAAGCAUGCUUAGGGUCCAUUUGACCCAUUCCUAAGCAUCAAAAUCCAAAACUCCAAAAUUUAGAAGCUAGGGUUCAAGAGCCUACCUCUUGUGCUACACCAAAGAGAAGAGGAGAGGGAGAUGAAGGUGUCCAAGGCUUUCCUCUUGAUCUCCUUCUUUUUCUCCUUCUUGUUCUUCUCCUUCUUUUCCUUCCUCUCCUUCUUCUUUUUCUUCUUCUCCUUUCUUUUCUAGAGAGAGAGAGCAAGAGAGAAAGAGAGAGAGUGAAAUGAGAGAGUGUGAGAGAGAGAGAGGGCUCAGCCUACUCUAAUAAAGGCCAUUUUGCACCUAAACCCCUCAAUUUUCCAUCCAUUGCACAGCCCUUACUGGGCAGUUUUCGCACGGAGGGACCGGUCUCCCCGACUUGGGACCGGUCCCCGAGAGCUUCCCUCGGGCGCACACAUUCGGGAACCGGUCUCUCCCCGGGAGACCGGUCCUCACCUAAGAAACCGGUCCCCGAGAGCUAAAUUUUCAGGACUUAGCCAAAUUUCGGCAUUUCUCGCUGGAACCACGUUCGGGAACCGGUCCCUCCCUACCAGGGACCGGUUGCAUCAAGCAACCCCGCAACACCCAGCCAAGGGAACCGGUCUCUCACCUGCAGAGACCGGUCCCCGAGAGCAACAUCAGCCCACUGAUGCAGUCUGCCUCAUUUGCCCUCGCAGACUCAACUCCAAGGCACUUUUUGUGUUUUGGACAUCUCUAACUCCCACAAAGGGUAUACUCUCGACAAUUAGUCGAUCCUGGAUGAAGUACAAUCCUCGGAUUUCGAGAAUUCACUUCCUUACAAAGGGUACUCACACCUUAGCCAUAUUAGUCUCAUUUGUCAUUCUUUCUUAUGGUCACAUUACCUUAGCCAACUAUGCCACCCGACUCGUUCUUGAGUCAAUCAACUGCGGAUAGUCCGCGCUCUGUCAGGCUCGAGGUGAAGGAACUAUCACAUGCACCUCAGCCUUAAAUCCUCUCGACUGUAGGUCUGCCACGGAGUGAGGAAUGCCAUUGAACCCCGGACCACAAGUCUCUCGAGCUCUAGCUCAUGGCAUACCGGGCGAGGAGAACCAACAUACCCGUUGAAUCACUGUCGGGCGAGGAGAACCAACAUACCCACAAUUAUAAUUCUCGUUAGCCAUCUCUUUUACCGGGCGAGGAGAACCAACAUACCCGUUGAAUCACUGUCGGGCGAGGAGAACCAACAUACCCACAAUUAUAAUUCUCGUUAGCCAUCUCUUUUACCGGGUGAGGAGAACUAACAUACCCGUUGAAUCACUGUCGGGCGAGGAGAACCAACAUACCCACAGUUAUGCUUCACUUGCGCUCGAUCGCAAGUCUUUCCCGCCGCACUAGCAGCCUUCAUUCCUAGGGAUUCCUGUAGAACACUGGACCUGUGCAAAUUGCGAGGUUCGAGUGAUUGGAUGUAUUUUGAGCUUUUCCACACUUGGUGGAGGGUCGUAGAAUGUUUUCCGAUCUAAAAAGUUUGAAAACCUGAGUUCUGGACGAGUCCUGAGAGUUUUUACUCUCGGGGUGUAAGGUACCGGACUUCGAAAAUCAUGAGGUUACGGUGUACGUUCGAUUGGAAAGCCAUUUAAAUGGUUCCGGUGAGGCUGCGGUGGAAUGUAGCAUACCGGAUCUUUAAUAUAAAAGUGAAAAUAAAUAAAAAUAGUGUGAGAUACUAUUUUUAUUGGAUUUAGAGAAGUAAAACAUAAGUCAGAAGUGACUUGUGCUGAAAUCGGGAUGAAAACAGAAGAUCUAGAAUUUUCUGUUGGAAACGGGACAGAAAAAUUAACAGAAAUUGCACAGUCUCAGAAAAUUAUGAAAAUUGGAGGAUAAGUCAGAAAUAUUUUUAUGAGGCUAGAUUUAAGGUUUCAUAUUUUUCUGACACCCGUAGAGUGAGAAUAAAAUCCGACAGUCAUCUGAUAAAGAUUACAGUUCGGUACAGCUUUCGGUGACCAAACGGGGUCGAAACUGAAAUAUUAAAAUUUCUUUGGACUCUUUAAGUAAAACCGAAUAUGACUGUCAAAUUUGAGCUCAAACGGAUACUCUGAGAGCUCCGGCGAAAGAUAUCAGAUUUGGAGCUGCCUGAUGUGAAUAGUGUAUGCUACUAUUGAGGGUUGACUAUAAGUAGAAGCUACUAGGCUUCUCCCUCUCCAUCAGCCGACCACCAUCACCACUACCAUACGUUCAUGGUGAAGUGAGAGAAACUCUCCCUUUUCUCUCUCUAAAUAUCUCUCUCAUCUCUCUAUAUUUCUCGCCCAAAUUCGCGGCGUUGGUGGAGAUCGAGCUUGCGAACGCGUUGGAGGCGACGGAUUGAGCUUUCGUGCGCCCGUUGGAGCGACGUGUUUUCGUUGCGGCGUUCACAUUGGGGUAAGCUUUUGGGAUUUGGCUUAAUCCUUAGCUUUAAGAGUUCUAGUAGCCUCUAAUGAGCAUUCUUAGCAUGUUGCUCCAUUUAAUUUGGAUUAUUUGGGGGUAAUUGCAUGUUAGGGCUCAAAAAUGGGAUUUUUCAAUAUGUGAGGGUUUGAUCUAAUUUGACCCUUCGUAAACCUAAUUGCAAGGUAAACGAACGCGUUGGCGAAGUCGGUUCGGCGAUUCGUCGAGCCGGUGCAAAGUUAUUAAAGAAACGGACGUUUAGGCUUCGUUUCCGCCUGGAGGGCCGAGGCGACGUCGUAAAAUCCUGGAAACGGAUUUGAAGCAUCGUAAUAGGAAACCGAAGACCUUUAAUUUUCGGAUCGCGGAUCGGAGGUUGUUUGGUGGUCGCGCGCGCGGGUUGGGUCGAGCCAAGCGGCGUGCGCCGCAGGAGGCCGAUUGCGAGUGACGACGAGCAAUCGGAACGCGAUAAAAGGUGGGUGGUGUCCAUCCCGACGCAACCGGGCUCCCUUUUAUGUCUAAGUUUUAUAUUGAUCAAAUUGCAUAUUGACAUAUUGACAUCUUGCAUUAUAGGGUGAUAAAUGAUGGUUUGGUCCUAUACCUUGCAUGUUCUUUGGUAGAAUAAUGUAUUUGGCUUAAUACUUAUAUCUAGCAUGCUUGAGGUUUAUAUAUGUGAUGUGGAACCCUAUAAUGAGAUGAUAAGUGUGGAUGGGAAUUUAAUAAUGCAUUGGCUAUUGCAUUGGAAACUUGUAAAGAACGAGUGGCAUCUAGUUGAUAGUAAACAAAAGAACAAGAGGCAUAUGUGAGUCAUAGUGUAUAUGAAACCUAUGGACUCUAUGAUGGUUGUAACCCUAGAGGAUAGGGUAUUCUUGAGACGAGAAUUGGAUCAUGCUCACGGUCUGUUUUAAAUCUUGUGAUGGAAGCCCCACACAAGUAGUGCGCUCCGGAGUUGGUCACGUGGGAUCGCCUAUUUUGGGUCCCAAGGGAUUGCCUAUUAUGGCCCCGGCAGACGGUCUCGGUUCGUAGUGCGAGUUGACCCUCCCUACCUUCGAGAUGGCUAGUGAGCAGUAGGCUCCUUCAGGGAGGCCACGAGAUUAAGAAACAAGUAAAUGAGAUUGGUGAACGAGUAAAUAACUUUACCUUUGGACAUGAUAAUGGGAUUGUUGUUUAUCCAUUUCAUUGUACAUGCAUUCAUAUAUUUAUGAUUGGGCAUAGUAGCGUAGCUUUACUGCUGUCAUUUACCGCUUUCCUUAUCUAUCUAUCUAUCGAUUAUCUACUUGUGCCCAACUUGGACCUAGUGGGGAGAUCGGCGGAGUCGGCGGCCGAACCCACUGGGAACUAAGGAAGUUAGUUCUCACCCCCAUUUUACUACAGGGCCGAGCGCGAGUUCACACGGCGAGGAUCGUGGUAAGGGCCUAGCGCUCUAAUUGCAUUAGUUUACUUUCCUACUUCUGCAUUAGAGUUACCUUUAUAUACAUUGAGAGUAGAUGAUGUAUAGGUUGUGAGCUAUUUUGGGAUGAAUGUAAGUAGUGUUUAUAUUUUGGAAGAUGUAAGCUUUAUAAUAUGUUUAGAAGCUUAAUGUAUAAUCAAAUUGUAUUAUAAAGGCUGAAUGAAUGUAAUAGAUAGAUGUUCCUCUCUUUAUCAUUACUUGUAUGUUCUAUACUUGUAUCUUGCUCUUGGUUGUUUUGCACCGAUUGUGCUCUCGUUGUAAUUAUCGAUUGGGUAUGUAUUCAAGUUAUUUUCCUGGGAACUUGUUGUACACAAUCUCGUUGUUAGCCUUGGGCGGACAGGGGAGGUGCUGUCCGUCCGGCGUCUGUUCGACGCGCCCGGGCCGAGCCAAAUUGGUAGCGGUCGCGGGGCGUGACACGGGGACCGGUCCCUGGCUGGGAGAGACUGGUCCCCUCCCCCCCCCCCGGAACAGUAUUGCGGCAGCCUUGAGGCAACCGGUCCCUGGCGGGUGAGACCGGUCCCCGAGCGCGUCCACGCGGGGAGAGACCGGUCCCGUGCGGGGAGAGACCGGUUCCCGAACGUCGGAUUUUCGGGGCAGGCCGAGAGACCGGUCCCAUGUCGGGGAGACCGGUCCCUCAGUCCAAAAACUGCCCAGUCCGGACUGUUGCAAUAUUGGAAAAUUGAGGGGCCUCUUUGGAUUUUGUUGCAUUUGAUGGCCUAUAUGGCCAUUUCACCCUCUCCCUUUUCUCAUUUCUCUUUCUCUCAUUCUCCCAACACCCUAGAGAGAAGAAGGAGAAGAAGGAAGAGAAGAAGAAGAAGAAGGAGAAGAGGAGGAGGAGGAUCUAGCUUGCGGAUUUGGAGCAUUUUCCUCUCCUUCUCUUCCCACCUUGUUGGUGCUUGGAGGCUUGGUCUUGGAGCUUGCAAGAGAGGAGAUCUUCACCCUUGGAGCUUGGAUUGGAGCUUCUAAGGAGGUUAGUUGCUUAUUUCUUCCCUCUAGACCAUGUUUUGUUGGUUUUUAGGAGAUGAAACCCUAGAAUAAGGUUUUAGGGUUGAUUUUGGGCAUUUUGAUUUUAGGGCUUUUGGAGCUCAAUUUCUUGGAUUGGAACCUUCCUCUAGGUUCCAUUGGAAGGGUCCUAGCUUUCUUUUAGAGCUUGAGAGAGAUUUUCUACUCCUUAGGUGAGUUUUUGUCCCUUUACUUGUGGUGGUUAAUGUUUGAGCCUAGAGUUGCUCGUAAUGUUUGUUUAUCUCUUCGCUCCUUACUUUUAGGGUACUUAGAGACUUGUGGACAACUCCGUUCGGCGAAACGAAGGGUUUCGAAACGGUUCAGUGGGUUUGACCUAGCCUAGCAUAUGAGAAAUUCUCAUAUCCUAUGUUUUAUGCUUCGUAGAGUAAAAAUUCAUGCAUUUUCAUGAUAAAUGUAAUUAUUGUGAAUUUUAAGAUGCUUAACAUGCUUAUGUUAUGUGUGAUGAUUUUCGAACCUCUAUGUAGUAGAGAACUAGCAUGUGGAACUUGUACAUGACUGGCACCCUAUUGAGACUUGGAAUCAUAAUUUCUAUUGUGAAAAUGAGCAUUACUUGCAUGCAUUUAAAGCUAUUCCUACUUGAGACUUAAAGGAUCUUAGUAAGCCAUAAAGAGGCUCGGAGACUUGUAUUACUUGUCAAUAAUUGGGCUAAUGUCAUAAAGGGGCAUUGAGCUCGGGUUAAAUGAGAACCUAGUACUAAUGUCAUGAAUGGAACAUAGAUUAUGAAACGUGUUAACUUAUAACAAGCUUAAGUGCCAUAAAGCGGCACUUAGCAUAGUGAGUGUUGGAACAUCACUUUGAGACAUAGAACUGGAUUUUUGAGAUGCUAGUGACUUUUACCAUAUUAGAGACAUGAUGAUUGGGUAUUUGAGACGUUGACUACACUUGUUUGCCAUUUGUGCUCAUUCGUACAUGCUUGUGAGGGUCGCUCACUACAAGCCGGCACUCCGGAGUUGGCCUAUGCGACUUAUGUUCGAUCCCGCGGUAUCGAGAAACCUACGGGGUCGGGAGGGAUAGACUCAUUCCUAGAGUGGGAAUGCUGGAGCUACCACCGACACUUAGGUGGCACAAGCUGGACUACACUAUGUAGGUCCCAGAACAUGUUGGAAACAAUGACAUUGAACCGGGAAAUGACUAUCACUACUAGAUAGGCUUAGUAGUUUGAUUACCUUGACAUGCUUAUAGCAUAGUGUUGGAACUUGUAGUACACAUGAUAGUCUUAUUUGUUGUAUCAUAGUAUACUUUGCAACCAUGAUAGAGCAUAUUCAUCAUACAUUGAUAUAGUGGAUCAUGAUACCUACUUGCUCGUUAUGUUUAGAUAUACUAGUCAUGCUUGGACAUACUUCAUUUUGACAAAGUAGAUGUACAAUACAUUUGACAUCAUGUUUAUUUGCGACAUAGUAGUUUAGCAUUUUAAUCAUGCUUCCAUAAAUGCAAUCCAUUUAUUAUUAUUGUUGCUUUUUGGACUUACCAUUUUUUUUUGGGGCCUAGUGGUGCAUUGAGCUGAGGUCAGUAAUUGCCCACUGAAAACUAUAAAUUAUAGUUCUCACGCCCUCUUUUUCUUGAUGUUAUUUCAGAGCCUUCCACGCCGGGAGAAGUUAGGGACCGCGGAAAGAGUAUCGUCCCGAGCUAGCUUGCUUCUAGGGACGUGUUGAUAGGUGGUCUACCUCUCAUUGUUUUCUUUUUGGAAAGGUUGAGGGUUGUACCAGUGUAUUAGAGACCACCGUUUUGUGUACUUUUGAGAUGAUUAUUGUAUAAGAGACCACCGUUUUGUGUACUUUUGAGAUGAUUAUUGUAUAACUUUAUGUUUCCUCUUUAUUACUUAGUUGUUCCAUCUACUCAUAUCAUAGAUUAUAGUUGUGUAUUUGCUCUGAUAUCUCUCUAGUUGUAGAUCAUUUCUUGCUUUAUUUUCGCUGUUGUUGUAGACGCCUUAUAUAUGUAGACAUAUGGCGGGUCUGGGCGCGCUACCGGGAGGGCCUCUGCCGGUCCCGGCGCGUGACAGAUUAGUUUGGUAUCAGAGCCUAGGGUUGAGUCUUAGAGGACCUAGCAAACCUUAGGCCGGUUGGACUAUAGGAUAUAGGUUCGUGAGAGACGAGAUCUAUUUGACUCGUAAGCGAAAGUAUUUUAAUUGGGUUUUAUGAUAACUCUAAAAAGUUGGAGUUGGAUCGGAGUGUAUGGCUUCUAACUUUGCAGAGGGUUACGUUGGCGGCCGACAACGUAACAUCGGGAGUUAGUUGUAGAUAACACUUACUUACUUUUGCAUGAUUUGGGUAUUGUUAUUUGAGCGGGGAUUCGACAGCGGGGGUUACUAACUUACGCUUUUAUGAUAUUGUAGUGACGAUACCGAUUACGCGCUCUCAAUCUGUUGGAGCGGACGAUGCAGCACACCUCGAGGAGGUCGAAACCUCCGCGACUUCCGGAUCUAGCGAGGUCCACGACUUGAGGUCCCAGCUUGCGGUCCUCACUGACCUUGUAGCACAGCAGGCGGUGGCCGCUCAGCGACAGGCCGAAGUGGCACAGCGGCAGGAGGCACGGAUGAAGCACCUGGAGGAUCUCUUGCUAUAGCAGGCAGCAGCUUCUAGAGAGACUCAGGUUCCCACACCGCCAGCACCCGUAGUGGACGUCGUGCUGAGGGCGCAAUCCCCCGCACCCAGUUCUUCGCGUGCGGCACCUGCGACCGCACCUCGGGAGGAAGUGGUCGCAGCACCACCGGUUCAGAUACCUGCGGCGAGGGCAGCUUUCCCUGUGAUGGCCGAGGGAGCCGAGAGGGAUCGGCUCAUGGAUCGCCUCAGCGAGUUCAGGAGGUGCAGUCCGAGGAUCUUUGACGGCGAGAAGGUCGACCACUGGAUUGUUGAGAAGUGGUUGAUGCACAUGGAGAAGCUUUUUCGAGAUACCUAUGUUGAGGAAAGGGAUAGAGUUUGGCUCGCCACACAUCACUUGGAUGGCGAGGCCUAUUGUUGGUGGUUGGAUAUCCAGGACAACCCCAACACUGAUUUGGCAGCAAUUUCUUGGGCGAGGUUCAAGGAGCUUCUUCUGGCACACUACUUCCCUACCAGCUUCAAGAGGAAGAUGGAGCAGGACCUGCGCAUCUUGCGCCAGGAGGAGCGGACAGUGGCCGAGAACGAGAAAGAGUUUUCUCGGCUACUUCACUGUAUACCCUUCGUAGUGCGGGACGACGAGGACAAGACCCGCAUUUUUUAGCGUGGAUUGCGGCCUUCGAUCUUUCGGUUGGUGCCCUAGGUUUGCACCUAUAGCAAACCACCCAAUCAAAACCUUAGAUUCUAGCAUUAAUCUAUUUAGAAGCAUGCUAGAGGUCCAAUCGACCCAUUUCAAAAGCUCAAAGCCCAAAAAUCCUAAGUUCUACAAGCUAGGGUUUGUAGCUUACCUCUUGAGCUACACCAAUGGAAAGAGGAGAGGGAGAGGGAGAUGUUCAAAGCCUUCUCCUUGAUCUACUUCUUCUUCUCCACCUUCUUCUCCUUCUUCUUUUUUCUUUUUCUUCUUCUCCUCCUUCUCUUCUUCCUUUUCUUUCUUUUCUAGAGAGAGAGAGAGGGAGCAAGAGAGAGUGUGAGAAAAAGAAAGAAUGAGAGGCUGAGGGAGAAAGAGGGGGCCUACAUACCCCUCUAAUGUAACAAAAUCCAAUUUAGCCCCUCAACUUUUCAUCUCUUAACCUGCCUUCACUAGGCAGUUUUCGCCCAGAGGGACCAGUCCCUCGUCGGGGAGACCGGUCCCCGAGAGCAGUCCCCCCGGCCAGAAGGCCUCUUCGUGUACGGAAACCCGUCUCUCCCCGGGGAGACCGGUCCUCGGGAGACCGGUCCUCUCCUGAGAGACCGGUCCCCGAGAGCUCGAUUUUCAGGACUUAGCCAAAUUUCGCUCUGUCUCGCGGGUUUCACCUACGGGGACCGAUCCCCCAGCCCAGGGACUGGUUGCAUCAAGCAACCCCGCAACCCUCAGCUACGGGGACCGGUCCUCCCUUAUAGGGACCGGUCCCCGAGAGCAAAAACUGCUAAGUUCAGAUUUUUGCGUAUUUGCUCUCGCGGACAUGUUUCCAAUGCACUCUUUGUGUCUUGGACAUCUUUAGCUUUCCCGAAGGAUACUCACUCGACAAUUAGUCGAUCCUGGAUGAAGUGCAACUCUCGGAUUUCGAGAAUUCACUUCUUUACAGUCAUAUUGAGCUUGAUAGAAAUAUGCGCUAUGACACUCGGUAAGGGUCGCUCCCCUUCGAGUGCCGCUCCACUAGCUGGUUAGUGUUAGCAGAGACAGUAGCUUAUGUGUUGACGAGUGCUCCUGCGAGAUUGUGAUUCGGGCAAUAGGCAAGCGCAGGCUUGACCGAACAUAUGAGUCGAUCAUUGCGAUUGAGUACGAUUUCAGCAUUUAUUUAUUAGUAUUAGAAUUGAUGCAUGUAUUAGUCAUCUUUUCUCCUAUUCAUUGCAUGUGUAGAGGCAUGAUAGUUUAUUAGAUGUAUAUCAUUCAUAUUAUGCUUCGUUACUCGUCCUAGGGCAUUCCUUACUAUAUUUUUGUAUGUUUGCCUAUAGUAUACUGAGUGGGAAGGCCAUGGUUGUCACCGACCGUACUCACUGGAAACUACUAUUUAGUAGUUUUCACGCUCUCUUGUGGUUUACUUUUCAGAAAUAUUUGCACCAACGAUUGAUUGGGGUAAGGGGAUCGCACUGUAGAUAACAUCUCCUACCUAUGUACAUAAGCAAUAGAGAAGUACCCAGCUAGAUAACUUUUGAAUUAUGUACUGUAUUUUAGGACUGGUGAGGCAAUGACCUUUUAUUUGUCUUUUAUUUUGGAGUUGUGAUUAUAUGAUUUUAUGUACAGUGAUAUUUAGUUGAUAGUUCAGUUUUUAUCUUGCUCUGCUACUUGAUUGUUUAGUAGUGGACUCCUAGGACUCGUGUGUAUGCUAGUUGUAGCCUCCUAGGAUUGUACAGGUUUUGUUGGAUGCUUUUGUAUCUGCAAGAAACUUCUUGUACAUACGGCGGUCUGUUUACGUACCCUGGGGCUUCUGCUAUGGGCUCGGAGUAUGACAGCAAUUCUCUUUCUUUAUUUUUAGCAUCUCUCUUUUUUUCCAUUGUUCUUUUCUGUAGUACCCAUAAAAAUGUCACUACUUUAAUAGAGAAAGAGCAAAGUGCAAAGAAGAAUAUCCUCAUCUCUUGUUACGAAAUGACUAGACAACGAGUGAUGUUUUGGCAACACCAGAGGGUUCUUUGUCCACUAUUGUUGAUUAUUUAUUUCAGUCGGCAUAAUAGCAUUUCAUUUGGAUAUCAUUGAAGUAAAGAACCGUCAAAAUCUCGACUGAACAAUGGUUACAAUUCAGGAGUAGGACUUGUGUGCUAUUAGGAGCAUGGAGGCCUCUAUUCUUCUAAGCCAUUUUCGAUGAUGGGACUUUCUAAACGAUGAUUGGCUCUGUUAGACUUGAUUUAGCAUAUGUGUGUGAAGUAUUUAGGAAAUAAUUUUUGCGGAUUUUCAAUAUCAUUUACCUAGUGAUCGAAAUGAUUCAAAAUCAACUAUUUUUAAUAGUUGAUGUAUGCCGUUUGCAAGUUUAACGGAAUAGAAGUAUUCAACUCGGAUGAAAUUUUGAUAGAAAAUUUUUUAUACUAUCUACAACAAGAUCAAUAUAUUUGAUGAAAAUGUUAGUGCUACAUCAUAACUUUUUGUGAGAUUUUUAACCGUCAUUUUGAGUUCUUUCGAUCACUAAGUAAAUGAUAUCGAAAAAGCGCAAAAUUUAUUUUCUAGAUAGUUCAAAUAUACUAGAUCAAGUCUAUCGGAGCCGAUUGUCGAUUCAGAAAUUUCAUCAUCGAAAACGGCUUAGGAGCACAGAGGGUUCCGUGCUCCUAAUAGCACACAAGCCCUACUCUCAAUUCAGUAUCGGUGUGAAAAGCCCCAGCUAGCAUCAUUUCAUCAAUCUCUCCAUCUAUUUCCGCAGCUUGGAUUACAGCAAACAAAGAACAGUGUCAUACCAUCUUCGCUUCUUGUGGUAGCCUGCAUAUCCACACAACACAAGCUAAUUUACAAUGGGAACAUCUCAAAAACUAAAAAGGGUUUUGGUAUUAGGUAUAACUUUGCGCUAUUUGGAUUAUUAUUUAAGAAAGAAUUUUAUGGUUCUGCUAAAAAAUGUAAACUGUUUCUUCAAUGAAAUAGUUUGAUUGUUCAAGUGCAUUUAACAUAGAAUUUUUUCCGUGAAGUCUGUGGCAAUGUUCUCGGUGCAAUCCACAACUAGACAUAAUGUUUUCACCAGCACUUAGAAAUUUGAAUAUUGUCUGAUAGGCAUUAGAUUGAUGGGGACGGUUUCAAUAAUGUUUACUUGGUGAAUAAUGUUGUACAAAUUUUUCCUUUGAUUUCAGAUUCAUGCAUCAACUCAAUUUAUUUGCUCCUUUCUGUUUUUGUUGUUAGGUUUCAUCUAAGGAAGUUGCACCACAUUUUUCUUAGGGCAGAAAAUCGACUCUGAUGAGAUAUAUUUCCAAUCAAAAAUAGCUAGCACCAGUAGUUCAGUUGCCCCAAUUCCACUUUUCAAGAAAAGAUUCUAUUUUCCCCUAUUUUGUCCAAUACACGUGAUGUUAAAGUGACAUAAUAUGCCAAACUACGGCAAUUGGUAUAGCACUAAAAAAUUAGUCAAAUGAGACAAUUAAACAUGCAUGGCAUGGGGUAUGAUAUGAGAUAAAAUGGAAGGGAAGCAAAAUUUGACCUGGAAAAACACUGCUUCACCGUGGCCACACGUAGCACAUCUUACGGACUUAGUACGAGGAAGAGUAGGGUCACUUGCAACAUCCUCUAGCACUUGUGUGAACUCAUCGACAGAGUGAUCCACCACAUUUCUAUAGACGCAGUUGUUCUCAGCAACCUCCUAUACGCAGUAAGUUUCCUUUAAGAACAUGUGAAUAUCAUUCAUAAUAAUUGAGCGAAAAAAGUACUGAAUCAGUACAUAAUAUGUUAGGAUCUCUCAUUCUUAACAGCAACUUUGAUAUUGAUAGAUAAAUUUAACGUCUCUGUUGGACGCCUCUUCGCUCCAAGAGAAAGAGAGAUCUCGUCUCAUAACUUAGUCUACUGCAAGUCAUUAAGAACAACUCAUUUUUAUCUCGUAAUAAAAUUGAUCAUUAUUACAAAUGCGGAAAGCCUCUUACUUGUAGGUUUAGAAUCAAUAAGACUUGCAAGAAAAAGAUAAAUCGAAAGAUAUUCCUAAUCUGGUAGAUGUCUCAAAUAAAAUAUAUUUCCUAAUCUAAUAAGUAAAAGAAUCCUAAUUUAAUAAGAAAAUAACUACAAAUCUGGGUCGGAUUAGAUUUCGUGAGUCUAUAUGAGUGAGUUUAUAUGGCUUAGAAAUGAUCAGCGGAACUUGCAAUCACAUUGGGUUAUCUGGUGGUAACGGUGGCAUAAUCGGAAUGAGUAGCAAUGGGAAUAACGGGAAAACAGUUUGUGAUGGCAAUGACGAAACUAAAACGGUUGUGGGCUCAACCGAAGUGACAGAGUGUGGCGUGGCGAUGGCUGGUGGUUAGCGCCGGAGCUUUGAAUUUUGUUUGUUGAUCAAUAGUCAGUGAAGCAGUUGGAUCAGCGCUAUGACGAAUUUUGGACCAUUUAUCAGCCAAGUGGGAUUUAUCCAGGUUGGUUUGUGAUCGUGUUUUCAAUGCAAAUUAUAAUGUAUUGAAUUUCACUAUAAUACAUCAAACCUUGCCAAAUAGGCAAAGCGAGGAUAAAGAUCGUGUUGGACAUGAUUAGAAUAAAGUUAGAAAGACUUUGGAGGUGUUACAGUUAGAGUUGGUUUGGGGUAAAGCAGAGUGCAAACAGAAGUUUGGGGUAAACUUCAGAAAACUACUCGGAAGUUUCAUUUUCUGGAAAAUAGAUUUAGCUUCUGGAAAAUGGCUAGAAGACUGAUUGGAGAACAUUCAGUUUCUAAGGAAACUGGGGGCAGUUUCUGAGGAAAUUAGCGGCAGUUUCUAAAAAAAACUAAACAGAAUUUUUUUCAGAAAAUGGGAGUGAAACGGUUUAUGUAGCUUUUGGUUUCUGAGGAAAAUAAGUUUCUGAGGAAAAUAACAAUAUUUUUCUGAAAAACCAGUCAUUUUCCGGAAACCACGAGUAUGUUAUGAAAGAUGCAUAGUUUCGCGUUGAAGUUAUUAUCCUUGUAAUUUUUUAUUUUUGGAGGAUUUUUUUGCAACUGUGGGAGCUUUUAAAACACCCCUACAAUCAUUUUCUCCUUCACUUCCCCUCCAACAAGUGAAACUUCUCUUUCUCUUAUUAAACCCCAUCUCUUUCUCUCUAGCAAAGCCCCCCCACUUCCAGGGAGAUUUUGGGAAGAUUGGGUUGAAGUCCACUAGGUAGUGAGGCAAGCUUCUUGGACAAGAAGGAGCUUGUGGGACAAGUUGCUAAGGUGAGUUCUUUGUGAUUUCUUGUUAGGGUUUGGGAUAAACAUAAAUGAGAUAAGGUUUUGGGAAACUCUCCAUCGAAUACACUAAAUGGUUUGAGAGUUUACUAAAUUGAUGGAGAGUUUCCUUGGGAAAAUAAAAACCUAGGUCGAAAAUUGGGGGUUUUGUACUUUGGGUAUUUCAAAGCAAAUUUACUCUUGAAAACUUUAAUUGAAGGUAGAUUGGCACGGGGAACAAUAAAAAUCUACCUUACGAUGAGGUUGCAGUCUCCAAUUGCAAGAUUAUGCCCAUUUUGAAGGUUCUUGGUCAAAUUGGUCUUGGAGUUUGACGAAUUACUGACAAUUAUUCAAUUGCCUGGUUUUCCUAGCGAUUAACAACGAAUCGAGGUGGGUGGUGCCUUCCGAAGUGGUUGGAUUCCUCUAGCUCUGUCAAAUUGCUCUAGUGAUUAUUUUUCCAUACCCUUGAGAGAUUAUGUUCACAUGCAUAAGUCGAGAAUGUCACUUGUUUUACUUGGCAACCUUUGCAUAUAACUAGUAGCAGCAGCUAGUUUUCCAUGGAGAUAGCGGAUUUAUAAUGGAAUACUAUAUUUUGACAUAGUUGUCACAUUGAUAUUGUGAUCAUACAUGAACUUGGACAUCAAGUCCAGGUAGAAAACAAUGACAAUGCAUAUUAAGCAAAGUACAAUAGUACAUGUAGCAUGUCUUAUAUUGUCGUAGUUGCAUUUCUUUUGAGAUAGGCAUGCUAGGGAUUGGUAGAUCUCAGGAUAUUGCCAUGAUAAAGUAGUGGGUCCUCUUGUAUAAGUGAAUAUGAUCAUGCUCACCAAGUCUGUCAAAGCUUGUGGUGGUCGCGAUUCCAUAAGCUGUGUUCUUUGGAGGUGUCACGUUAAUAAGGGUGAUAGGACAGUUGUGAUUCUCCUUGGGUGCUAGGGUGUGGAAGAGACUCUCCAACAGAUGGCUAAGGUGGGUGCUAGUAGCGAUUCGCCACAAGGCUUAGAGGCACGACUAGGGCUCAACCCCAUGGUUGGCCAGUAUGAUUGGAUCAAGAAACAAAGAGACAGGUUCAACAUAUUGGGUACUUGGUAAUUUCUUAAAGGCAUAGAAGUAGGUUUUAUUAUUCUUGUUUAUAGAUUCUUGUAGUUAUUUACUACUUUGUUCAUUAUCUAUUUACUACUAAUGCGUUGAUUAGACCUACCACAAUGGUCAAUGGUUGAACCUACUGGAAACUUUCUUAUAGUUCUCACCCUUUUGUUUUACAGAUCCAGCCAAGACUGAAGUGGCACAGGACAAAGGCAAGAGCAUCACUCUAUAGAUAGCAAGGUCACCUAGAUGAACCUUGCAAGAUAAACCCAAUGGUCGUAUUUUUGGAAGCACUGUAUAGUUAGCUCAUUUUGGGAAAUGGAUUCGAAUGCGGUAGACAUAUAUUUGUACCUACUUUCAUUUUGGCGAAAAGGAUUGAUAUAAUUUAUUGAUGCUUGGAGUGGAGAUACAUGAAAAGUUUUGAGUGAACAAAUUGUGAUAAUCAUAUUCAUUCUCAUGCUUAUGUGAUGCUCACCGUAUGCAAUUCUUGUAUGUGUUGUUCCUAUGCGGAAUGCAACGUACAUGUUUUGUAAACGCUUCGUGCAGUCGGGAGAAGACUAUGUACGCUCGGCGGGUCUGAGCACGUCUCGGAGGACCUCCGCUGUGGGGCCCUAGGCGUGACACAAAUGAUAAGGCAUUUUCUUUUGGUCAAAAAACUUGCUUUGAAAGUUUUGAAUUUUUGCAUCAUCUACAAUAUAGAAGCUUGUAAGGCUUGAAACUGUUGAUUUUUUCGUUGUUCCAUGGCCUUCAAUUAGUUAAUUAUUUUCUUUCCCCACACAUUACCGAUACUACUUCCUCUCUGCCUUAUUUAUUGACGGAAUUACAGAUUUUCCAAAUUUUUUUAAAUGCCAUGUGCAAAAUUUUAAAUAAAAUUGAUUAAAAUUAAUUAGUAAUGGGUUAGGAAAACUUAGCUUUACUCCGGCUUGAAUUGAGUCAAAACAAUGAUGCGGCUUGGAUUAGAUUGUAUCAGUCUAGGUUUUUUAUGAUGUGGAGAAGGUCGAACCUGGUGGGAUAACGUGUGUUUGAUAGAAACCUUAAUCCCAAAUCACACGAGAACGCGAAGGAUAAGAAGAAAUCUUCGGCUUCGGACUUUAUGAAGGCUUUAAUACCAAAUUGUCAGGAUCCCUUGCUCCUAACUGUAGUUUUGAUUUCGAUAGAUAAAUUUAACGUUGCUAUCCGAUGCCUCUCCACUUUAAGAGGAAGAGGUAUCUCCUCUUCUAACCUAGUUUAAGUCAGAAGCCAUUACGGGGAACCAUUAAGUAGUAACUCAUUUUUUUAUUAGUUAUUAAUAAAGUUAAUUGAUCGUAAGUUGCAAAAGAGGAGAACCGCUUAUUUAUAGGUCUCAAAUUAUUAUAGUAACCUUAAUAUAAUGAAGAAACUAACAAGAAUAUGAUAGAUCAAAAGAUAUUCCUAGUCUAGUAGAUAUACUAAAUAAAGCAUCUUUCCUAUACUAAUCAGUAAAGUAAUCCUAAUCUAAUAAUAAAAAAAGAUUACAAAUUUGUGAGUGAGUCAGAUUAGGAUCCGUGAAUGAUCAUAGCACAAUAUGCUGAUCUAUUUUGUAUUCGGAAGAAAUAGUAUUAUUUGCUAUUGAUCAUAUACUAAUAUACAUGAGUAGUCCGUCAUUAUCUUGUUGCAGAUGUCCCCAAUUGAUAUGUUAAGUAGCAUCUCGUUUCUGCCAAAGCUAAAAAUGUAUUCAAGUUCUUUCAACGAAGCUAUAAAAUAUCUAAAAGAAUUAUGAUCUUUACUGAUCUUAUGGGGCUCUGCAUUUCUCGUUAUAUCCCAGAAUCUGAUGUUUUUAGGUAAGAGUACGAAGAACAAGAGAAGGAUAGAAUGUCCGGCAGUGACCAUUGACGUACUCUGGAUAAAACCAUGGUUAAUUGAUUCGACAUUUGCAGAAGGUAAAAAACUUCAUUCUUUUUCUUUGUUCCCCCGUUUUUCACUUUGGCAGUUUUAGCUUAGAGUGGAAAAGAGAGAAAGUGGAAUGAAACUCUCAUGAAAUAAAUUUCAGUCCAACAAAUCACAUGGAAAUUGAAAGAACGAAGAGUAAUACAAUGCACAAUGUAAAAUAAAUCGAAUGCACAAUGCAAAGAAAAGAAAUUUAUGGAAGGAUUUAAUGAACGGGAGCUCACCACAUAUCCAGGUUUGAAAUCUAAACGGAAAUAUGGGAAGGUGCAGAACCUGAUGAUCGCAAUUGCGGCAAGCAUAAAGGAGGUCCUUCUGUUCUCUGUCCUCCUUCGGAUACAGUAUGUUGUUGCUGCCCAUACCCGAAUGAGAAGCCAAAAAAGAAAAAGGAUAAUACCAAGUAAGAAUAGACAGAAGAAAAUGAAUCGUUAGACCAUGUUAUUUCACUCUCUGCAGUGCAUAGCAGCGUGUACAUAAAUAGUUAGAAUCUUACCAUUCUCUGCAAAAUUUCAUAGUACUCAUGGUUGCUUCUUUUCAGCUUUCCUACAGGAAUUUAAUGAAGCCUUAUUGCUUUCUCAGCUGAUCUUCUGAUCUCUUAUUAGUACUGGUGUAUAUGGGUCGAACUCUCUAUCUAUAGACAAAGGUGUAGCUCUCUGUCUCUCUCUCCUUCUCUCUUUCUCUAGAAGGUGGGAAAUAUUAGUAGGAGAACUCUCUGUGGAACUGUGUGGGGACAUACGAAAAUGACGGAUGCUUCUAGCAUAUAUUACUUAAUAAGGGACUGCUUAUUUUGACAAUUUAAAUAAUCUGUAAUUUCUUCAGCAGAAAUCAAAGAUUUUGAUAUCGAGGCUGAAAAGUGAAAGCUCCUGUAGAGAAAUACUGUUGGAAGGAACUCAAUAUAUACAGUGCUUAUGCUAACAGCAAUGGUGCGUUGUCAACCAAGAUUGCAUUCUAUAGCAAGGCCAAAGAGGACGGUCCUGCAGUCCCUCUUUUGCCGAGUUUAUCUCGCUGUGUUGUUUUGAUUUCUUGAAGCCCGUUCGAGAUUGACUAGUAAGAUACUGACAAGUAAGAUCAUCAAAAUAAAGUAAGAUCAUCAAAAUAGCUAUUUUGGUGUAUGAAAAAAAAUAUAUUUACUGCUGAAAGUCACCACCAAAUAGUUCUGGAUCGAUUAAGAAAUUGAAUAAAUGUGGAAAUCAUUCUACAAGAGAUCACCAUAAUGCCGAUUCAUAUAUUUUAUUUUUCAGAGAAUAAAAAUAGCAGGAAACUAUCCCCAGUAUGCAGAUUCAAUAUUUUUAUAUUUUAUUUUUUUAUUUGAGUACUUAUUUUAGUUUGAAAUUAAGUCUUGUUAAAUUUAAUAACUAUUAAUUGCAUUAGUUUUAUUUGCUAACAACUAAUUCAAAUUAUUUAAGUUUGAUGGAAUCACAAAUGACUGUAAUAAAAUUUUCAAGUUAUUUGGCCGAUUGUCCAAUUCGGACAUCGUAAGGUAUCGUUUGAUUCGAGAAUAAGGUAUUCCGGGGAAAGGUAUAAAUUGAGGUAUAAGCGGGGAUUAGAUCAAUUUUGCGAUUGGAUGAAAAUUGGGUUAUUUCUGGAAAUAAGAAAAAUAGAGUUUGGUUAUGUAAGAUGGAAUAAGAAUUAAAGUGGGUAGUUAUAAAUAAAAAAUAUUAUUAUUAUUAUUUUCUUUAUAUUAGAAUUAGAAUUUUUAUAUUUUAUAUUUAUAUUUUGAAAUUUAAAAUAUAAACUUUUAAAUUUUCAAAAUCAAAAUUAAAAUUUAAAAUUUUAAAAUCUCAAAUUUAUAAUUUUUAAAAAAUUAAUUUAUCAUGAAUAUUAUUAGCUAAUCAUAAAUGUUAAUUAAUACAUUAAUUACCAGAUUAAUUAAUCAUUAAUUAAUUAACCAUGAGUANAAUCAUAAAUGUUAAUUAAUACAUUAAUUACCAGAUUAAUUAAUCAUUAAUCAAUUAACCAUGAGUACUGUUAAUUAAUAAAUUAUCUAACUAUAAAUAAUUUAAUAAGUUAACAAAUUAGGCUAAUAAAUUAAUAUAUUAGUAAAUUAAUUAAUUAAUUAAUUAAUUAAUUAGUUAUGUUGGUAAAAAUAUUAAUUUAUUAAUCAAUAAAGAUAUUAGUUAUUGCAUAAACACACUAAUAAAUAAUUAUUAAUUUAGCUAAUAUUUUAUUAUUAAAUUAGUUAAUUUUUAAUUUAGCUAAUUAGUUAAUAAAAUAAUAUAUAUAAUAUAUUAAUUAAUAAUAUUUUAUUAUUAAACUAGUAGAGAUAUAAAGAGAAAAAUUUGUUAUUCCACCAAAAGGGUGGAACAACAAAUCCUCCUCUUAACGGGUUAUUCUAGAAUAAUCCGUUAAGAGGGGGAUUAAAUAAACUCACUCCCUCUUAUAGUGUUUGGAUGAAUUAGAGGGAUAAAGUGGUCUAUUCCCACUUUAUCCUCAACCAAACAAUGCCUAAAAGAAUAAAGUUGAAAGGGCCCUUUCGACAUGGCCUAUAGUCGAGGGGUCUCCAUACAUUUUAGCCAAAUUAUAUUUAUAUUUUUAUUUUUGAAUAAUUUUUGUCAGCUAAACUGGAUGUUUUAUUAACAUUUUAUCAACUUUUAUGGUUUUAAUCACUUUUCACUAAAUAAAAAAAAUUAAUGGCUACUAGUUAAUACACAUAUUAAAUUAAAUAAAAUUUUCAACUUGACUAACUGGAAUAACGGCUAGUAGUUGGAGGAUUUUUUUUGGGAUUUUAUUACAUUCCUACUGCGAGCCGAUUUCUUUGACUGCUGGCUCGAUCAAAACCCUCCUUUGGGAAGCCCGCGAGGAGACGGAGCGGCUACGAAUGAUGACUCUCGAAACUUUUCGCUCACUAUCGAAUCAAGCGAUUCAGCUCAAAAUUGCUGUGAGUUGAUUUCUUUGACCGUUGAUUCGGUCAAAACCCUCCUUCGGGAAGCACGCGAAGAGGUGGAGUGACUACGAAUGAUGACCCUUGAAAUUUGCACCCACUGUCGAAUCAAGCGAUUCGGUCGAUGAGGUAUCGGAUCAGUCGAGUUCAAUCCCACACAGUAAGUUCGGUUCAGCUGGAUCAGUCGAGUCAAGGUAAUAGUACAGUACUUUUUGUUCAGCUGAAGAGUCGGAAAGUCUAUAUAUUGCUCAAAAUCAGAAAAUGAGCGUGUGUCGCUAUGGCAUGCGAUCUCAAAGGAAAAUUUGAUCUACAGACUACUCCUAGGAAAUGCAGUAAAUGUAGAAAAGUAAAAGGGUUGCAGGUAGACUACUACUAGAAAGUAAGAAGAAAUGCAGAGAAAAAUAGAAAUUGGUCUCUCGUUCACAGGGAAAAAAGAUCUCUACCAGGUGUCCUCUGUUUAUUUAUAGCUUCGCUUGUUGCUUAUUCAGUUAUUCUCUACUAUCGGUGUAGCACAUUGAAAUUUUGCAAACUUCAGAGUUCAAGUGAGAGAAUAGUGCUUUUUACUAUUUUGAAGGAUAUGACUGGGUUUGGAGAGCUUAGGAGUGUUUUUGAGGCUUUAUAAGCGCGAAAACGGACUCUGGAGAUCAAAUUCUGCAAAACUGCUUUAUUUGUGUUGAGUACCAGUACUGGACUUGAGGUACUGGAACCCAGUUGAGUGUUGGUUUGGGCCGCUCUCGGGUUUUACGGAACUCGGCUCUGUGUACUGGUACUGAGCCGAGUACCGGUACUGCAUUGGGCGAUUUCCCAACGUUCGGGUUUUGCAGUACUAGACCCCUGGUACCGGAACGGACUGCCGAGUACCGGUACUCCAAAUUGUGUAUCGGUACUAAAUGUUGCAGAAACUGUUUCGUGCAGAAUGCAAUUUUUGACUUUUGGAGAGGCUUUUGGGGUAUUGUUAUAACUAGUAUAACAUACCCCACACUCUCUCAUUCUCUUUUGUUGGUUGAGGAUGGAGAGGGAGAAGAAGUGGGUUUACUUCUCUUUUCCUUUGGAUUUUUUUUUCAUUACCUUUCAAUCUUUGGGUUUAAUGUAACAUACUGAAUCCCCGACGAGUUGUACCGAAAAAUUGACCGAAGUGUGGUAGUGGACGGGGUGGUGAGGUUCAUUAAUUAUUCCGAGAGCUUCGGAAUACAUUGCAUGUGUGGUUUGGACCAUGGAGAGCAAUCUAGCAAAAUUCCAGCUCUUUUCGUGCUAGAAAUGCUCUCAGGGUCCGGACCUUCAGUGCAAGGUCUGGACCCCGUACGCGAAAAAUGCCAAGGUUGGUCAGCCUUUGUCGUGUGAGGGGGCUAGGUGCAAUUGUGCAAGUGGGAAGUGUUUAUAUGUGGGUUCUCAUGUGUUUAACCCUCAUUUCCCUCACACUACCAACAAAAGAGAAAAGCUCUUUCUCACUCUAAGAUUCUCCACUCUCUCUCCCUUUCUCCCCUUCUCUCACUAGGGUUUUGUCACACCCUGGACUUCAGCGGAAGCUCACCAGUUACAUGCACAAACCCGCCGUGUACACCACAACCUCAAGUGUACACCAGGCGUCUACAAACAACAUAGCAAAAGUAUAAUAUUCUAGCAAGGUAAUCAGAGGAAAAACUUAAAAGUUUAUAAGCUUAUACAAAUACGAAACCUUAAUACAGAUUAGAAGCAAAGUACAAAGUACAUUCUACAUAGUCCCACUAUACAACACUGAACUCAACUAGAAAAGCUAGUAUGGUUUCAUCUAUUUAAUAUCGAGAAAGCUCUAACUAGCCGCUAACCCCUCGCUAGGAACCAUAGUCUUUCCCGCUGUGGAGGGCUCUGCACACAAACAACCAACAACAGGGCGUGAAAACUAUUAAACAAUAGUUCCCAGUGGGUAAGUCGCCGAGAGUGGCGAAGUACUGUUAAGGAUUUUCUAGGUUGACGAAUUUCGUAAAGUCGAAUAGAGUCUUGAAGAGUUAAAAGCGAAGUUUUUGGAAAGAAGAUUCAAUUUGAAGAUCAAAGACUCAUUCGGGAAGUUCGGCAGCUCAGGUAUGCAAGAUAGAUCAUUUGUGGUGAAUCUAAAUGUUCAAAAUGUAUUUAGAAGACAUAGAUUGUAUUAAUGUUUUUAAAAUAAUUAAAUCUGAACUUAUCAGGAGUUCAGGGACCGGUCCCUGAUCAGAAGGACCGGUUCCCGGAGGUCCUCGCUGCAUAAUAAAGCAAUGCAACCGGUCCCUGAGAUGAGAGACUGGUUCCCGUAGCUUGUGUUUUCAGCUACGCAACGAGGGACCGGUCCCCGAGAUGAGAGACCGGUUCCCGUAGGUUAUGUUUUCAGCUACGCAACGAGGGAUCGGUCUCCAACUGAGAGGACCGGUCCCCCAAGGAUCGGUCUCCUCGAGAGGACCGGACCCUGAGGACGUCGUCAGUUUUUAAAAUUGUGUUUUUGCAAUUCUAGUCUACUUCUAAGUCUUCUGAAUCUAUAAAUAAACUAUGAGGGUUACAUUAUGCUGUAUGCUUAGAGUUUAGACCAUUUUGAAACCCUAGAAACUUGUUUUUCGAGCUUUAUGAUUCUAUUCUUAACGCAAGUUUCGAAUUGUUGUUCGUCGACUUGAUUCUUAGAUUUUAAUUUGAAUGUUCCUUUGAGAAUCAAGUUGAUGAUUGACUAAAAGGGAAUUCCUUAGAGCUUAUGGUUUUCUAAAUUUCAAUCACCACAAAUUAUCAUCUCUACGAGCUCCAGAUGGAGGAUUUGCGUAAGGAUUCCGUGUGAAGGCCGUGGAUUCGGUGGGCGUUUCGUGGAGUCGAGGCGUGUUUGCUGCAAGAACUUGCGGCAUGAUCGGUUGGAGGAUUCCAAGUGAUCGAAGACCGGCGAAGACAAUCUACAAUGAGAAUUCGGUAAAUUAAGUCGUGUAUUUUCGUUAAAUCACUUGUACUCAAGUUUUCUUAGUGGAUUUGUUCGUGUGAUCGGUCCCGUGGGUUUUUCUCUCCGGAUUGGAGUUUUCCCACAUUAAAUCUCGGUGUGUUGAUUUUAUUUUCCGCAUUCUCUUUUAAUUUGCAUCGAGUUUAUUUGUUUUUGCCGUUUACACCUAUUCACACCCCCCUCUAGGUGUUAUUUACCUUUUAGAUCCUUGGGAUCCAUAUCUUUCAAGUGGUAUCAGAGCGGGUAUAGGUUGUAAACUAUGGCCGAGGACGGUAAUAUUAAUCGACCCCCACUCUUUGACGGCACUAAUUACGCUUAUUGGAAAGUUCGCAUGAGAGCGUUUCUUAUUGCCAUUGACGAGCGGGUUUGGUAAUCAAUUGAAUUCGGAUGGAAACAUCUUACCGAAGUUGUCGAUAAUGUUAGCGGUCCCAAACCUAGAAAUAAAUGGACGAAAGAGGAAAAUGAACUAUCUUCGUUCAACGGGAAAUGUAUCAAUGCUUUAUUCAAUGCUUUAAAUCAAACCGAAUUUUCUCGUGUCUCGGCGUGUGAAACCGCCAAAGAUAUUUGGGACACUUUACAAAUUACACAUGAGGGUACAAGCUUAGUAAAGGUUCAAAAGUUACAAAUGUUGACUAGUAGAUUUGAUUCUAUUCACAUGGAAGAACAUAAAACCUUUACCGAGUAUUAUACUCAUUUGCAAGGUAUUAUCAACACAUGUGCUAAUUUGGGAGAGAAGAUUCCGGACUCUAAAAUUGUUAGAAAAAUUUUGAGAACCCUUUCCGAACGAUUUCGUCCUAAGGUUGCGGCCAUAGAAACGGUAAAACAUCCGGAUGAAUUAAAAGUAGAAGAAUUAGUUGGUGCACUUCAAACUUAUGAGAUGACUUUUCCUUCUAAUUCAUCUUCUUCCAAGUUGUCUUCUAAAGCUUCAGGUAUGGCACUAAAAUCAACGAAAGGAGGCAACGUGGAAUCUUAUUUAUCGGAUUCGGACUCAGACGUAACCUUGGAAGAGUUUGAGAAGCAAAUGGCUCUUUUGACGAAGAAGUUUCGUCGGAACUUUAUGUCACGCCCCGGGACCCAGCGGAAGCCCGCCCGGCACGUGCCCAGAUCCGACAUACGUCUAAAACAUAUAAGGCAUCUAGAAAUAACAGUAAUAAAAGCAAUAAUAAGAGGCAUCUAGGAGUAUCAGAGCAUAAUAAAUGUCUAAAUGCUACAACCAGGGAUAAGGAUAAAGCUGUAAAUCCACUAAAUAAAACAUAAAGUAAAUACAAUAGAAAAUCCCAAAUACAAGUGCUAAAAGUAGGUACAUAGGUGGUCUCUACACAUGGAUACAAAAUCUCUCACUCUCCCAACUACAAAAAGAAAGAGCAAACCACCUAGGCAAAGAACCGCUCCUCGCUAGCUAGCUAAGCGAUCCCCUUGCCGCGAUCCCGUGCCUCCGCCGGUGCCGAAGGCUCUGAAAAGUAAACCAUGAAACAGGGGCGUGAGAACGAUUAAAAAUAGUUCCCAGUGGGCAAUUACUGACUUCAGUGAAUGCUCCACAAGGCCCAAAGCUACAGAAGAGGUCAGUGACUAACAAUGUAGUAAAGCGAAAGGUAAGUAAAAUGUAACUCACUAUAACAUAGAAUUGCUACUUAGCAUGAUUUGCACAAGUAAUGAAGCAACUAUAUCAUGAAUAUAACUGGAUGUGUAUGACAUGCAUAAGCAUAGAAAUGCAACCAAUCCGAUGUCCUCAAUGCAAAAAUAGUAAAGAUGCCAUUGUUUACUAUUUUAGUUCAAGUCCGCUUUAAUAGUUUCAAAGUCCACAUAGCAUGUUCUGUCACUAAGUCCCAAUCCUAUAGGACCCACCCGAAGGCUGUCUGGCCUGCGCCGUGCCUAAUGGCUCCGUGGUAGUCAACAUCCCCACUCUAGGGAUGAGCCUCCCCCACGGCGAUCCACUUCGGCGUCCAAUCCCGCACGGGCGAGCAAAUGUCGCGAUGGCUAUCUCCGGAGUGCCGGCUUGUAGGGAGCGACCCUCACAAGCAUGUGCGAAUGAGCACAAUGGCAUGCAAGCGAAUAAGUCCGUCUCAGGUCCCAAUGGUUCAUCACUGUUUCAUCGGAUCUAAAACCCGGAAUACAGCACAUGUCCCCAAAGGCCUGCUACUAUAUCGUCAUGUCUCUAACAUGGGAAGCAGCUAAUGUCAUCGUGGCCAAGUCACUAUUUCAUCAUAUCUAAAAUAUGGAAUAUAGUCGAUAUCAAAAUGGCCUAUCAUCAAGUCUCUAUAUUGUAGUUUAACAAUUUCUAGUCCAAGUGCCUCUUCAUGACACUAUGGCUCAUUAUGUCCCAACAUGGAUACUAAGUUCAAGAACUUGUAAUUCUAGUCAUAUUCGAAGCAAGAACAUGAUUUCAUAUCAUCUCACAGGAUGUUCGCCGCAUGCAUAUUAACAAAGCAUAUAUGCCUCUCUAUUAUAUGGAGUAAAUUUUCUUAUGCAUAACAUAUGAGUCUUAAGCAUUCAACAAUUCCCAUAAAUACUAUUAAACAUGAAUAUGCAUGAAUUUAUAGUAAAUGAAAGCAUUUAACCACAUAGGAGGAAUUUCCUCUCAUUUCAAGAAGCCAAACCCACCGAUUCCUCGAACUCCUUGUUUCGCCGAACGAAGGUGUCCACUAGCCUCCUAGUACCCUAAGGAUGUAGGAACAAGUGUCAAACAAGGCUCACGAACAAAGCUAAGCUCAAACAUUAAGCUUCUCUAGCUAGGUUGGAGAAAACUCACCGAACGCUAAGGAAUCCCCCACGAACUCCAAAAGGGAGUUAGAUUCCUUCAGAUCCAACCUAAAUCAAAGUCCUAAACCAAUCAAUUUGGUUCUAGAAGCUACAAAUCAAAAAUUCCCAUUUUUAACCCUAAUAUGCCAAAUCUAGGGUUUGAUCUAGUAGAAGCUACCAAAACUUAGUCCAAAGAAAAGAUUAGGCUUACUAACCUCACAAAAAGCUCAAAAUCAAGCUCCAAGUUCCCUAGGGUUGAAGGUUGAUCUCCAAAGAAGCUCCAACCAAGAUCUCAAGCUUCUCCAAUGGUGGAAAACCCACAAAAGCAAGAAAGAGAGGAGAAAAGAGAUCAAAACCCACAAAAAAAACCAUCAAAAAUGGAGAAGAAUUCAAAGGGGAGGAGUUCUCACCUGUUCUCCACUGGUCUAGGGCUCAAAAGAGCUCACAAAGGGGCUGGGGUGUGCUUAAAUAGAGGUUGCAAUAAUUACAAAAACACCCCCCACGAAACAGCCCAGAAUCUGUAUUGUGUACCGGUACACGGGAAAGUGUACCGGUACACCUCCUGCGAAACUGCCCAACCCGAGCCUCGGAUUGGCAGAAAAUCUAUUGUGUACCGGUACAACCAUCAAGGGCGUACCGGUACAAAUUCUGUACCGGUACAACCAUCAAGGCUGUACCGGUAUACAGCCUAGCUGAGGCUAAUCCGAGAGUACUCCAACAAUCCAACCUUUUGGGAUUUUGGUACAGGUUUAAACCCUCAAUUCUCGGGAUGCGAGCCAUAGGUCGGAACACUGUUUACGACCCUUCAGAAAGUCUGAAAUAGCUCGGCACACAGAUCAAACACUCGAAACUCGCAAUUUACAGAGGUCCAGUGUGCUACACUUUAGAAAGAAGUUUCCUUUCAAGUAAACUUCCUCCAAGCCAAACAAAUCAAAAGGGAGUUCCUCUUCUUCUUCGAAGUUUAAAAAAUCAGAAAAUUUUCAAAAAGACUCUACAAAAGAGAAGAAAAGUAGUGAAGGUCAAAUCCAAUGCUAUAAGUGUAGGGGAUUUGGUCAUAUUGCAUCGGAUUGUCCAAAUAAAAAAUCUUUGAAAAAGAAAGUGAUGCAAGCCAUUACUUGGGAUGAUUCUUCUUCUGACGAGUCAUCUUCAAGUGAUGAGGACGUUAAUGCCACGGCACUUAUUGCACAUGAUUCUACUUUUGUGUGUUUAGCAUCCACUGACUCUAUUUUUAUGUCUCCUUUGCAUGAAAAAUCUACGUCGGAGAACUCAUCGGAUGAAGAAUCGGAUGAAGAUGAUAUGGCCGCCACAUAUCAUCAUCUUGUUGUUGAAUCAAAGAAGAUGGCAAAACACAACAAGAAAUUGUGGCGUAGAUUGUAUGAUCUGGAUCAAGAUAAUACAAGAUUAGAGUCGUUGACAAAAAGUCUUGAGCAAGAAAAAGAUGGUUUGACGAAGGCAUACAAUUCUUUACUUGAUAAGUGUGCAUUGCUUGAAAAGGAAAAGGAGUCUCAUGUUGAAAAUAUCAAUUUCCUUACCAAGCAAUACACGGAAGCUAGAGAAUCCAAUAUGGAAUUCACCAAGACGAUUAUUCAACUCAAAUCGGAUUUAAAUCAAUUCUCGUUUGGCUCUAGCAAACUUGACAAGAUGUUCGGACUUGGUCAAACCAACAAAUUCGGACUUGAAUACGAAUGGACGUAUGUCGAUCAAGUGAUGAAGAAAAUAGACGAACAUCUAACGAAACCGGCACCUAUGGUGUAUGGCAAGUUUGUCUCUCCUAAGAAUUCUUUUGCUAACAAAACUUGUCAUCUUUAUGGUGUUGUAGGACAUAUAAAAAGAUUUUGCGAACAAAAGCCGAAAAGUACCGCAACAUCAUUGAAUCGGAGGACACCAUGGAAGCCUAAGAAGGAUGAUCCGAAAUUAAAGACGAAACAAACGUGGAAGCCUAAGAAGGAUGAUAUUACACAAAUCGUCGACAAGCAAUGCGUGUCUCAAUCAAGUCGGCCGAUGCAUUCCAAAACACGUAAAGUUUGGGUGCGCAAAGGUGAACUCUUUCCUUGCCUUGUCAUCCACACUUCGCUUCAUGCUUACAAUAAUACUUCUUGGUAUCUAGAUAGUGGUUGUUCAUGUCACAUGAUCGGCGAUAAAAAUUGGUUUACUUAUUUAAAUAAAAUCUCUAGAGUACUUAUUGUUUUUGGAGACGGUCGGUCAUCAAAAAUUAUUAGAAAAGGAACAGUCGCUAUGUCACGCCCCGGGACCCGGCAUAGGCCCACCCGGUGCGUGCCCAGACCCACCAUAUGCCUGCACAUAUAAGGCGUCUACAACAAUAGAAGUAUGAAAGUAAGGAAGAGUAAGACAACUAUAGACAUCAGAGCAACUAGCAGCUACAUACUAAUAACAAAUAGAGAACAGUAAAUUGAUCCACUAAUAAAACAUAAGGUAAGUACAACAUCCGUCUCAAAAUACAAAAUGGGUGGUCUCUAUACAUGGUACAACUCUCAACCUCUCCAAAAAGAAACCAAUGAGAGGUAGACCACCUAUCGAUAUGAUCCUCGCAAAAGAGCUAGCUCAAGGCAAUGCCCUUUCCGUGGUCCCUAGCCUUGCCCGGUGUGGAAGGCUCUGAAAGGAAACAAGAAAUAGGGGGCGUGAGAACUAUAAUUUAUAGUUCCCAGUGGGCAAUUACUGACCUCAGCACAUUGCGCCACUAGGCCCAAAGAGUACGAUAGAUAUGAUAAACAACUGGAAUUAAACUGCAGAUAUGAAAGCAUGUAUUGAAUGCUAAAAUAAACUAUUAUGUUAUAAGCAAUAUGAUGGCAAUGUGUAGUACACAGAUUCUAUCAUGCUCAAAUAUGUACAACACAAAACUAGUGUGAUCCCACAUGGCAAGCAAAUAUUCUAGAGUGCAAAGAGCGCUAUAAUCAAGUAUACUAUAAGUCCAAACCUAUGCUAUAAGCAUGUCCAAGAAACCCAACUACUAUAAUCUAUUUAGUAGUGAUUUUUACUUAUGCGACUCCAUGUCGAUUUCCAUUUCUCAUUAAGGACCUACCCAAGGUAGUCCGGCUUGUGCCGCCUAAGUGCCUGUGGUAGCCCAACAUUCCCACUCGAGGAACGAGUCUGUCCCACCCGACCGCGUAGGCUUCUCAAUACCGCACGAGCGAACAUAAGUCGCAUAGGCUAACUCCGGAGUGCCGGCUUGUAGGGAGCGACCCUCACAAGCAUGUGCGAAUGAGCACAAAUGGCAAGCAAGCGUAGUCAUCGUCUCAAAUGUCCAAUCAUCAUGUCUCUAACAUGGUAAUAGUUACUAGCAAACCCAUCGGUCUAGUCCAAUGUCCAACGUGAAGGUUUAACCGUUCAAUUAUGUCCAAUGCCCCUUUAUGGCAUUACAUCUCACUAUGCCCAAAUCUCGGUACAACACUAAUGCCAGUUCACGACAUUAGGUUUACUAAGUCCACACAUAUUCCAAGCCUAAUGCCCUUUUAUGACAUUAGCUUACUAAUUCACAAACCACUCUAGUCUAAUGCCCCUUUAUGACAUUAUCUACUAGGUUCACAUAUAGCCUAAGCUCAAUGUCUCUUUAUGACAUUAGCUUACUACGUGUUAAGUCGUGUGUGUUGGCAAGUUUCGUGAAGUGAGUCGAAGUCUUGAAGAAUCGGUGCGUGUUGUCGAAGAUCGAAGAAUUCAAGAUUUCGAAGAAGUUGGAAAAUAACUCACACCGUGAAUCACGAUGUCCAGGUAAAGUGUUAAUUCAUGAUCAUGGUGAUUCAUACUUAGUUGUAGACAUUAGAAUCAUAAUAUCAUUGUCUAACGGAUUAGAAAGUGCAUUGGAACUUUGCAAAACCCGAAACGGCGAAAUUUUGCAAAGUGUACCGGUACAGCAUCAGAAGUGUACCGGUACAAAAUGUGUACCGGUACGACCAUCAAGGGUGUAACCGGUUUCACUGUUUCGUCUGAUUUUCGUUCCGUCAUCGUGUAACCGGUGACAGCCUAAAGUGUACCGGUACACAGUGUAAAAUCGUGAAAACUUUCUAAUCCGACUCCAAUUGAUUCUAAAGUCUAUAAAUAAGCUAUUGGACUUCUCUAACACAUCAAGCAUCAUAAGAAUACAUGUUUGAGAAACCCUAGAGGCUCGGAUUUCAUCUUAAACCUAUUUUCUACAAAAAACCUUUUUUAGAUCAAAUCGAGAUAUUGAAAUUUGAUAUUAAUAUGUCGAUUUGAUCUCCGCUUCGCUUGGAGUUCUAUUCCCUGGUUUUCUACGAUACUCCUAAGCGAAGGAUCACCAUACACAUGAUGCUCUUCAUGAACGGCGUCGUGGAUUCGGCAUGAACGAAGACGGUUCGUGGAUUCGGAUCGUGAGCUCGUGGAUUCGAGUGGGCGUCGUGGAUUCGACGUUAUCGAGGCUUCGUGGAUUCGAAGUGGUGACGUUUCGUGGAUUCGGGACGUGGCGUUCGUGGAUUCGGACGUGGGGCGUGGACAACCCGUUGGUGUGCGCGAGAUCUGGAGAAGAUAGAAGAGAGGUUUGAGUCCGUGGAUUCGGUAAAUCACCUUGUAAUCUUUUAUUCUUAGUGGAUUGUUAUCGCGUGUUGGUCCCGUUGGUUUUUUACUCCGAGUUUGGAGUUUUUCCACGUAAAUCUCGGUGUGCUUUUUAUUUUCCGCAUUUAUUUUUAUUGCAUCGAGAUUUGUGGUUUUUUGGCCUUUCACCUAUUCACCCCCCUCUAGGUGAUAGAUACAAUCUAGAUAGAUCCUUGGGCUCCUCAAAACUUUCAAUUGGUAUGAGAGCGGGAUCUAGAUAAAUUGCUAUCUAAUGGCUGAUAAAGAAAAUGACGAGAAUCUUGCUUUGUUUACUAACACUUCUUUGCCUUCGUCUAAUGUUGUUUGCUUAUCUUCUAUUAUUUCUAAUUCCACCUUGUCGGGGUCUUCGAGCGACAAUGGCGAAAGCGAGGAGGAGUCGAACGACGAGGAUUUGGCAGAAGCAUACAAUCAACUUCUUAUUGAUUCGAAAAAGAUGGCCAAGCAUAAUAAGAAGCUGAGAAGGCGUUUAUUGGAACUUGAAGGCGUUGUGUGUGUGUGCUGGUUGUGUACGCAGGUUGAGGGAGAGAAAAGAGCAAUGCUCUUUUCCACAAGCAGCCUCAACUAUUCACUUUUCAGUUUAGUCCCUCAAAUCUUGAUAAGUUCCGUCGGAACCCUUCUGAAUGUCCGUUUGAGCUCAAAUUGACAGGUAGUCUCGGUUUAACGUACUGAGUAAGAAUAUAUCUUAAGUUUCCAGUUUCGACCCCGUUUUGGUCACGGAAAACUGUGCCGAACUGCAAUCUUUUAUCAGAUAGCUUUCGGAUUUUAUUUCUCACUCUACGGGUGUCAGAAAAAUAUGAAACCUCAAAUCUAGCCUCAUAAAAAUAUCUGACUAUCCUCCAAUUUUCAUAAUUUUCUGAGACUGUGUGCAUUUUCUGCUAAUUUACCUGUCCCGUCUCUCACAGAAAAUUCUAAAUUUUUUGUUUUCAUUCCGAUUUCAGCACAAGUCAUUUCUAACUCAUAUUUCACCUUCUCAAAUCCAAUAAAAAUAGUAUCUCAUACUAUUUUUAUUUAUUUUUAUUUAUUAUAUUUAAAUCGCUAUAUUACAUUACACCGCAACCUUACCGGAACAUUCAAAUGGCUCUCCAACCAAAUGAACACCGUAACCUCAUGAUUUUAGAAGUUCGUACCUUACAGAAUUAUUUUUCAAAUUUGAUUCCCUUUCCUCUCGAGAGCUUCUUCAUUGUCUUCAACUUGUUGUUUUCCUUUCACUUNNNNNNNNNNNNNNNNNNNNNNNNNNNNNNNNNNNNNNNNNNNNNNNNNNNNNNNNNNNNNNNNNNNNNNNNNNNNNNNNNNNNNNNNNNNNNNNNNNNNAUUGUUUUGUUGAGAGAGAUAUAUCGCCGCCAGCAUAGGUAAUUAGGAGUCUAAAAAUCACGAGAAUCGAAACAACAACUCCUUUAUACUAUUCGGAGGUGGGUAGGUGCAUUCGAAUUGUUGUUAUUCCUUUCUAUGUCUAUCUACCUUUUAUUGACCAUAAUGUCAAUAGUCAUUCAUGUAUGAUAGGGCUAAUUACAUGUGAAAGUUGGUUGGACUUCGAUUAUAUGUUUCUAAAAUAGAUGAAACAUAGUAAUUGAUAUGAACCAUAGAGGAACAUGUAUGUUGGACCCUAAUACUUGUGUGAAUUGCAGACCAGACUAUUAUGAGUAAAAGAGGUGCAUUUGACAUAUGAGACAAGAUUGACAUCGAAAAAAAUAGAUUUAAACAAGGUUUAACCAUUAGUGCAUAAUGACAGAAUACACUAAGUGGCCAAAUAUGAUGGUAAAGGUUGGAAACUAUCAUUAAGUUGUAGGAUAUUGUGGUUAGUGGCUUAAUAUAUCCUUAAGUCAGGAUUUGAUCGAUUACUCCGAUAAGUCUUGACUCGAGGGAGGUAGCUGCCCUCCCUCAAGCGGUGCGCUCCGGAGUCGAGUCACACGAGGGAUAGUGGCCCCCAAAAGACGGUCCCUCGAGUUUGCAGCGCUUAGAGCCUCCCCCGAACCAAAAAGGAUUUAGGCGUUUGUGAGUUUGGGGAUGUUAACAAAGUUAACCGGUUAAAGAUUGGAAUAAAAGCAAAGUAAAGUUAUGGAAAGAGCAUGCAUGCAAUAAUCAUUUUAUUUUAUUAUACUAUCCACUGACAGUUUUUCUUGCAGCAUAGUUUAGCAUUAGCAGAUGGCUUACUUAUUUCCUUUUCUUUGAAAUACUGUUAUGCCUAAAUAGACUAGUGGGUAAAUCGGCAGAGGUCGGUUGACCCGAACACACCACCUCGAGACAAACUUCCGUUGUAGUCUCACAAACACUAACCCUAAAGAUCGGAGCUACGAGCAGGGCGCCGGAGGAUCGAACAAGGGUUCGCGCAGUAGCAGUGUGGCCACCGGAGUACUUGCAUUUAGUGAUUCCCUUUUUGGUUCAUGUAUCAAUGUUUCUUUGUUGACUUAGAAUUGUAAAGUGUAAACAAAUCAGUUUAGUGUUUGGGUGGGAUGAUAAGAUGCAAAGAUAUUAUAAAUGAAAGCAAAAUGAAUGUAAUAAUUUUUAGUUUACUAGUAUUUGGUUUAAAUUGUAAUCAAAUAUUACGUAUAGUUGUAUGUUGCUAGCUUAGAGCUUUGCUUCCGUUGUUGGCUUGCCCUCGUGCAGCCUUGUAUAAUUCAAAUCUCUUUGUUUGAUUGCUUAAUUAUACUUUUGUUUAGAGCCUUUGGGCCUACGGACAGAGAAGGCCGCUGGCUACGGUUUGGCGGUCUGUUUGACGUUGGCCGAAUCCGACCAGAAUAGGAGGCCGGGGGAGCGGCGGCGUGACAUUAGAUGUUAAAUUUGAGGUUUGACUCAAUGGACAGUGAUUAAUAAGCUUAAGCAUAUUAUAACAGAUAUAUUCUAUUUUCUUAACUUUUUCUUUUCUGAGAACUAAUUGCAUAUGCUACUUCAAUAACUUUUUAUUUGCAAAAUGCAUUUACUAGUUGUUGUUGCUGUGAAAGCCCAGAUUUUAGAAAUAGCGCUAAGAAACCUAGUCCAUUCUUAACAAUAUUUCUGUAUCUUUUGAACAAUUGAAAUAAAUUUCAAUUUUAAUGUUGAGUAUGACGCCAGGUAUUGAAAUUUCUGAGAAUGGCAUAUUUUUCCUGUGAAACUGUUGAACCAUUAGAAAGUUUUAAUCUAUACACAUAGUUUCAUCAUUUAGUGGAAUGUGAUACUUUGUAGGACAUGAUUUGGGAUGAACAAUCAAAGUAAGGGUUUGAAAGGCUUUUAGAUAGGUGCGCUUGAGUGUAUAAACAAGUGUUAUACAAGAGUUAUUUAUCUUCCGAUGGAGUCCUGUUUUACUUGUAAACUCUAACACUCGGUUGAAAUUUUUUUUGAAGUGAUUAUUUGUAUCAUUCACAUUUGUUACCUAUAUUCUCUUUACUUUUUUUUGAAUUAGGCCAAACUUCUCAAUUCCUUCAUGUCGCAAACAAUAGUUUCACUUUAAACUUACAGUUGUAAUUAAAUUCUUUGGUUAGAAUAGUUUGAUAGUGUUAGAUAAUGGGCAAUUUCUAUAGAUUUGAGAAGGAGGCGGCGGAUGUCAUUAUUAUAGCCCAAUAAUGUAUUUUAUAGUUUUUGUGCUAAUUGGUGUGAAUAGAUGUAUUUUAUGGGGUGUAUCUUAUUUGGGCUUAUACCUAUUUGGGAAGGACGAUAUCUAAAGAUGAACAAAAAAUAGAAUAAGAAUGAGAGAUUUGAGAAUUUAUCGUAAGAUGCAUUAAAUGAAAAGUGAUAGAAUUGUGUGAGUCAAUUCGAGAUGCGAUAGGCGAAUUUUACUAUCUUUGUGGUAUUGGUUUAGAGACUAUUGGGUGGUUUAAGUGGUUUCUUCGCCAACAUGUUCUUUUGGGAGGAGCUUGUUUUGCAAACGCUGUUUCUUUAUACUUAUGUGUCAUUCAUUAGAAAAAGAUAGGACAAUUGCAAAUUAUUUGAUAGAAAUUAGGAGAGACUGUUUAUGCGGCAGUUUAAUUUAUGCCUAAUGGCCAAGUAUUGAAGUUGCAUGGUGAAGUUAGCCAAAUCACGCUGCAGCCCAAUUUUUCAAUGACUGGCACGGCAGAUUGAGUAACUGGAGAAGUUUUCAAGGUUCGUUAAGGUAUAAUAUUUUUAUUAUUUUUUAUGUAUUAUAUCAAGUGUAGACAAAUAGAUUUUUUUUUUAAAUUUCCAUCAAUUUUUGUUUUGUAGAAUUUGCUUUAGAGCACUAUGAUGGCGUACAUGUUUUAAGUUGAAAGAUUCCAGCGAGAAGGUAAAGUAAGAUAUAGAACAAGAAAAUCAGAUCUGUUGAACUAAUGUUUUAGGAGUGUGUUCCUCAGCUGUGUAUUUUGCACUUUUAUGAUAUAUAUGCCCGCUGGAGGGUUGUGCAAUGAUUCUCGUGUUGCUUCGAGAUUGCUAUUACUAGAACCAUACGGAUUACGAGUGCUGCAAGGUAAGUUUUUAUACGUAGUAAAUACACACACACACACACACACACAUAUAGUUAGUUAGUUAAUAAUUUUUAUCUAAUUCUUUUUUUUAACUUAAAGGUUGUUAUUAUUUGGUUGAUUUUGGAUAUACCAAUGCGGACGGAUUUCUUGCACCUUUUAAGGGACAACUAUAUCAUAUGCACGUGUGGUGGGUUGGGCACCGACCACAAUCAGUAGAAGAGUAUUUCAACAAGAAACACACCCAAGCUAGAAAUGUAAUUGAAAGAUGCUUUGGGCUUCUUAAGGGACGAUGGGCAAUUCUUAGAAGUAAUUCUUUUUUUCCGAUGAAAGCUCAAUGCCGAAUUGUAAUGUCAUGUGCUCUUCUUCACAACCUAAUUAGGAGGUAUAUGCAUAGAGAUCCAAUAGAAGAAGACUAUGAAGUAGAAAAGGAAGAGGAAACUUAUGAGGAAGAAGAUAUAGAGAAUGGAGUUGAAUUCAUUACAACAGUUGAGACAUCUGAUGAGUGGACCAACUUUAGAAAUACAUUAUGUCACGCCCCGAGCCCAAUCCUUUUGGCCGGUUCGAGCGCGUCAAACAGACGCCAAACGGACAGAGUCACCCCUGUCCGCCCAAGGCUCAACAACAAGUACAAAUAGAGUAUAAGAUUUGCACAUACGGAAGCAUACAUAAUGACUUGCACGAGGGCAAACAGUAGCCAAAGUGAAAGUACUAUCUAAUCAACAUACAAGUAAUAUGAUUACCUUUUAACCAUAUACAUGCAUACAAUUAAACAUUUACAUUCUCUCUUUAGCAUCAUUUCUUCUCUUUUACAUUACACGAUUUCUCACAAUAUAACUUCUUGCUUUCAAUAUAAAUUCUUUUACAACAUUCUUUAAGCAUCUAUAAUCAUCAAAUACAAAAGAUGAUCUACAAAGGGAAUGCAACUACAAAAUGUAAAAGUAUCUCGAGCGGUCUCUGUCUAGGACGCGAUACCCUUACCGUGAUCAUCCGCCGGCUCGCUCGGUCCCGGCUCUGUGGAAAUAGUGGGGUGAGAACUACAACAAAGUUUCCAGUGGGUUCGGCCCUGAUCUCACCGAUUUUUCUACUAGGUCUAAAUCAGGCAUAAUAGAAGAAAGAAUAGAUAGUAACCAGCUAACAAAUGCAGCUAAUAUGCCUGAACAAAUAAACUCAAUCAUAUGCUCAAUGAGAUGCUUAUGAUGAAUGCAAGUUCAUAUUUUCUUUACAUAAUCUUGUGGCUAACCCGUUGGGCCCUCAGCCCAUUGGGCAUUCAGCUUCCUCCCGUAUGGUUCCAUAACUCACUGACUCAAAAUCCCAAUUAUCGAGCCCUCAGCUUCUUCCCAUUGAGACCGUCCUUUGGAGAUUCCCUUUCCUAUGGUGACAACUCCGGAGCUCACCGCUCGAGGGGGAGCGACCUCCCACAAGCCAAGACUAUAGGCGAGUAUGAUCAAUCCUUAGCUUUAAGGAUUCUAAUGUUCAUGUGACCCUUAUCUUUAAGGUUUCUAUGUCACAAUGUCACUACUGUUCUUUACUUGCAUUCUUUAUCUUACACUAGUGUCAUAUACACUAACUUGUUCUUUAUACUCAUUCACUAAUGCCACAUUUGUAAGGUACCGGACUUCUAAAAUCAUGAGGUUACGGUGUCCAUUUGGUUGGAGAGCCAUUUGAAUGGUUCCGGUAAGGUUGCGGUGUAAUGUAAUAUACCGGAUUUAAAUAUAAAAAAUAGAAAUAAAUAAAAAUAGUAUGAGAUACUAUUUUUAUUGAAUUUAGAGAAGUGAAAUAUAAGUUGGGAAUGACCUGUGCUGAAAUCGGAAUUAAACAGAAGAUUUAGAAUUUUCUGUUGAAAACGGGACAGAUAAAUUAGCAGAAAAUGCACAGUCUCAGAAAAUUAUGAAAAUUGGCAGAGAUGUCAGAAAUAUUUUUAUGAGGCUAGAUUUAAGGUUUCAUAUUUUU
RNAcentral lists this long non-coding RNA (40257 nucleotides) under Ananas comosus (pineapple). RNAcentral's name for it is "long non-coding RNA (ACOM_LNC016718)". Lineage: Eukaryota; Viridiplantae; Streptophyta; Magnoliopsida; Poales; Bromeliaceae. The record is from RNAcentral.